RNAcentral lists this long non-coding RNA (1839 nucleotides) under Homo sapiens (human). Its description in RNAcentral is "HSALNT0294250". The record is from RNAcentral. Lineage: Eukaryota; Metazoa; Chordata; Mammalia; Primates; Hominidae.
ACUAGCGGGAGGGGGCCGGGCUAGCGGGCUACUGGGCUGCGGAGACCAGAGCCCGGCUCCACUGAAGAAACCCGCCGGCUGCUGGGGCAGGGCGGCGAAAGGUCAGUCGGCCGAGAGGAGUCCGUGGAGCCACCGUUUCAUAGCCUCAGGGAAAGGAUCGGGCGUGCUCACGAGCCCUCUAACCCAUGGCUUAAACACCCGCUUCCUAAGCCUGGUUCCUGAAUAUAUCACAUGUGGUGAUAAACAUGAAGAUGUAUGAAAAAUUGUGUUCGUUGAGAGAAAAUGGAAGGCUUUUCAUUCUACUUCCACAUUUUCAUUCCAGCAGCUUUUCUGUUUUGGAAGAUGAGUACUGAAUCUUGCAAUGAAAUUUUUUUAACUUAAACAAGACAAGGAAAAUGAAGCGCAGAGACGUUAAAUAACUCUCUCAAGGUCAUGCAGCUGAGAAGAGAUGAGACUUGAACUCCAGUGCCAGCCCUGUUAAUCACUAUUCUGUACUGUCUUUCAGGUUCUUAUGCCUUUGUUUGAAAAACAUGGUUCCCUGUGAAAUUUUACAUGUAGAAGAAAGCUUCACACUACGAGAGCUCUCAGGAUAUAAUUAUUUCAGACAGAUACUGGGAACAUAAGAUGGCUUAUCAAUCUAAGAUGGCCUUCCUGUCCUUCGGAUUGAACUGAAACCAUCCCUGAUUCCAGGGAUAGGUAGAUGAUCCAGGUUUGGACAAUCAAAAUAUUGAACCACCCUGGACCUACAAGUGUUUCUGGGAUGGGAACAUGCAAACGUUGGUCCAAAUUGUUGUUCUAGGCAGCCCAGUACAUUUCUCCAAUGCCUGAUGGAAUGAUAGGGUAUGCAUAAAUGUUCAUGUGGGCUCUGGAGUAUACCAGGAACUGAAGUAAGGUACAUGGACGUCUUGAAUAUUGUAACUGAGAUGGGCAAGCCUACACCUUUGCAAAUAAAGGAGGAUUGGGAAAGAUUAAGAUCCUGUUAAACGUCAGUGUUACUAUUUAGCCUUUGAUAUCUCCAGUAAAGGCAACUUCUUUCUGGACCCAGAAAUAAAGCUUUACAUUAGCAGCUUCCAUAACACCAAUAACAUGAAUGACCAUCUACUGAGCAAUUGCAGUGCACCAGGAUUAUGGCUUAUGAGCACUUUAUGUUUAUUAUCUCACAACUCACUGAGUUAGAUACUCUCCACAACCCAGUGAGCCUCUCAAGCACUGUGAAAAAUCACUUUCUCUUGUUGUAUUCUUGGAGCCCCUGCUAAUUCAUUAUUGAAAAAUACCUGCUGCCUGCAUUUGGCCUUAUGUUGUCAUUUACUUGGUACUUCCUAAGCGUGGCUACUCCAAUGAAGCUUUAGUAUAUGUACUGAAAGAAGAUCCUCUCAUACUGCCACAGCCAAGAGAUAAGGUUGUAAAUCUUUAUUGGGAGAAGCCGUCAAGGACAGUUCUGUGAAAUGAAAGGAUCUCUGGAUCACCACAAAGUCUGGCUCAGUGACUAUGGCUUUGCAAACACUAAACAUUCCUGUCUCAAGUCCUGUAGAUGGCUUGAAAUAGUAUACAUAAGCAUGCCUUAUAAACAUCUUCAGUCUUUAUCAACUCUUUGGAGAUUCAGCCAUUCUUUUUUGUACUUUAGGGAAUUAAAUCAUUUUAUAAUGUAUAAAUCUGAGCAUGGCCGAUGGCAGAAGAAAUUUUGUCAUACGUUUUUAAAGAAAUAAAAAUGUAUUAUGUUUUAAAAUUCCUUUAACUGUUUUUCUUACAAAAUUCCCAACAACUUAGUUACCAAGUAAACUAUCUCAGAUAUGAUUUUUCAGUCCUUGCUAAUCUAUUUAUAAAAUCUUUUGCUAUUUU